UGCCAUCGAUUUUAUAAACUC
Molecule: non-coding RNA, 21 nt
Filed under: Caenorhabditis elegans
Lineage: Eukaryota; Metazoa; Nematoda; Chromadorea; Rhabditida; Rhabditidae
Source: RNAcentral